This 434-nucleotide ribosomal RNA is filed under the name uncultured bacterium. RNAcentral's name for it is "partial 16S ribosomal RNA". It matches the Rfam family "Bacterial small subunit ribosomal RNA", at positions 29 to 507 of the family's 1533-position model. The record is from RNAcentral.
AGCGAACGCUGGCGGCAGGCCUAACACAUGCAAGUCGAACGAACCUUUCGGGGUUAGUGGCGGACGGGUGAGUAACACGUGGGAACGUGCCUUUAGGUUCGGAAUAACUCAGGGAAACUUGUGCUAAUACCGAAUGUGCCCUUCGGGGGAAAGAUUUAUCGCCUUUAGAGCGGCCCGCGUCUGAUUAGCUAGUUGGUUGAGGUAAUGGCUCACCAAGGCGACGAUCAGUAGCUGGUCUGAGAGGAUGAUCAGCAACAUUGGGACUGAGACACGGCCCAAACUCAUACGGGAGGCAGCAGUGGGGAAUCUUGCGCAAUGGGCGAAAGCCUGACGCAGCCAUGCCGCGUGAAUGAUGAAGGUCUUAGGAGUGUAAAAUUCUUUCAACGGGGACGAUAAUGACGGUACCCGGAGAAGAAGCCCCGGCUAACUUCGUG